Molecule: non-coding RNA, 525 nt
Organism: Paramuricea clavata
Lineage: Eukaryota; Metazoa; Cnidaria; Anthozoa; Malacalcyonacea; Plexauridae
Source: the annotation of a GenBank genome assembly
UGCAUAUCAGUCAUUACUGCUUGAUGACAAUGUGUUAACAAACUUAAUUAAUACAAGAUACAAAUGUUCAUUGACAUACUUAUUGAUAUUAACUGUUUUUAGUAAAUUGUUCUUGGUAACAAAACUCAAAUGAUUUGUAUCAUUUUUGGGCUGGUCAAAUAAAUCAUGCAUCAGUAAAAUGAAUGCUAUUCCACAUCAGUAUAUGGCUGAAAAUGAAACUCACACAAAUGUAGCACAUAGUUCGGAAACUUGUUGGAAGGUGUAUUGGUCACAAUUUCUAUGUUAAUUAUCUAACUUUAAGCAAAACUGUAGUCCAUCAUGUGCCUACUGUUUUUGUUUGUGUGAAAAUACUGUACAAUAACCACAACAAUGGACUGUACUUUUUGCAUGAACCUGCCCUAACAUAGAUGACUUUCAUUGAGUCUCUAAACCAUGUGCUCUAUUAACUAUGCUGAGACAACAAAUCAACCACGCAAGCUAGGGUCUGGAUAUGCGCUCCUGCCUCUCUUGAAUUGAGACCUUUAG